RNAcentral lists this unclassified non-coding RNA (197 nucleotides) under uncultured fungus. RNAcentral describes it as "sequence contains ITS1, 5.8S rRNA gene". Lineage: Eukaryota; Fungi. The record is from RNAcentral.
AAGGAUACGGGGCGCAAGCCCCCCUCCUCCUCCUACCCUUUGUGAACAUACCUACAGUCGUUGCCUCGGCGGCGCCGGGCCUGCGUCACAGCAGCCCCCCGCGCUCCGGCGCGGGAGCAGCCCGCCGGCGGCCCCCCACACGAACUCUUGUCGUCAGCAGUGUUACCUUCUGAGAAGAAAAGCUUCUAAAUAAGUAA